AGAGUUUGAUCCUGGUCUCANAAUCAACUGUCUGGCGGCGUGCCUCAGGCAUGCAAGUCGAACGCGAAAGUUCCCUUCGGGGGGCGAGUAGAGUGGCGUCCGGGUGAGUAACACGUAGGUAAUCUACCUUUGGGUGGGGAAUAACAAUCGGAAACGGUUGCUAAUACCGCAUAAUGCAGCGGCACCGCAUGGUGACAGUUGUUAAAGCGGGGGAUCGCAAGACCUCGCGCCUAUAGAGGAGCCUGUGGCGGAUUAGCUAGUUGGCAGGGUAACGGCCUACCAAGGUCAACGAUCCGUAGCCGGCCUGAGAGGGCGGUCGGCCACACUGACACUGAAAUACNGGUCAGACUCCUACGGGNAGGCAGCAGUCGGGAAUUUUGGGCAAUGGGCGCAAGCCUGACCCAGGCAACGCCGCGUGAAGGAUGAAAUCCCUCGGGAUGUANACUUNUCAANGAAUGGGAANAAUAAGUAGGGGGCUAAUACCCUCUAUCAUGACGGUACCAUUUGUAAGCUCCGGCUAACUCCGNGCCAGCAGCCNUGUAAUUANGGGGGGAGCAAGCGUUGUUUCGGAUCUUACUGUNGCGUAAAGGGCCCUUANGCNGUCAGUGCAAGUCCANNUUGUGAAACUCNCCGAGCNNUANCUCCGGACAGGUCAACUGNUANUGCUCGACUAUAGNGCGGAANGGGCACCUGGANUCCUUGGUGNNGCGNUGNGAUGCUUNAAUNUCC
This 729-nucleotide ribosomal RNA is filed under the name uncultured bacterium. Its description in RNAcentral is "partial 16S ribosomal RNA". It matches the Rfam family "Bacterial small subunit ribosomal RNA", at positions 8 to 699 of the family's 1533-position model. The record is from RNAcentral.